This is a long non-coding RNA of Orcinus orca (killer whale), 10627 nucleotides long. RefSeq lists it as uncharacterized. The transcript is spliced from 4 exons. Lineage: Eukaryota; Metazoa; Chordata; Mammalia; Artiodactyla; Delphinidae. The record is from RefSeq and is a predicted model, not a curated record.
GUGUUGCGGGCAGUGGGUGGGGCCCCGUGGGCCUCGAACCCUGAUCUGCUUCUAGCCGGCGAAUAACUGGAAUUAACGGAGCAGGUUUAGUGUGCACGUGAGAUACUCUGGACCUUUCCACCCGCCCCACCCGACUGCGGGGAUAGUCACACAGUCACGUGCCGGGUGGGUCCCGGGGGUCGCACUUCGCUGGAGCUGGUCCCCGAGCCGCUGGCAGUGAAGUGACGGGGAAAGCGCGGGACCGGAAGGAGGGACGCGGGGCUCCAGGACUUCCAGCGCUUUCAGGCUAAUACUGGAUGCACACGAAAUCACAUGUUGAGCAAAUAUAAGGAAAACAUUUAAACCACGAUGGAAGAGGGCCACUUUCUCUUUACGUUCCUGCGCCCCCUCCUUCAGCCCUUUUCAGCUUGGGUGAUACACGGCUGCAGGCAUUUGGGGUUGAGCCAAGGUGGGUGGAUCAAUCAGUAUCAGAUGAUAACUGGGCUUAAGGAAAAUAACUUUCAAGUCAUACUUGCUUAAAAGAGAUCUACUUAGUCAAAAGGCUACAUUGCUUAAACAGUGAGAAAAAUCCAUGAAUAGAUAGAUUUCAUAAUGACAAAGAAAAAAGAAGAAAAGAAGGAACCAUGAGUCACCCACAGAGGACGCCAGGGAACUGUGACAUAAUAAGAAAUAUGUAUUUGGUGUCUACAUGGGCUUCCUGGCACAGAGCUCCUGAAACGCUUGGAAUUUCUUGAGUGAUCGGGUAAAAUGAGGCCUCUCUGCUUAUUUAUAACUGGCCUCUUUCAACCACACCUGAGUUUAUGUUAAUGAGGUGACUUAGAAAAGACCCUAAGGAUGGGACUGAGGGGAGGCUGGGUUGAUUAGAGGGUCAGACCUUUCAGCCCCACCCACUGACCUCGGGGGAGGGGCGAGGGGCUGGAGAUGGACUUAAUCACCAAUGGCCAAUGAUUUAAUCGAUGACGCCUAAGAAAUGAAGCCUCCGUAAAAACCCUAAACAACAGGUUUUGGAGAGCAUCUGGGCUGGUGAACACGUCAAAGUCCCGGGAGUGGUGGGCAUGGAUGCCCCACCCCUCCCCCAAUACCUGUGCAUCUUGUCCCUUUGGCUGUUCCUGAGUUGUGUCCUUUGUAAUAAAUGGGUGAUAGUAAGUGCUUUCCUACCUUCUGUGAGCAAAUGAUCAAGCUGAGGUGAGGGUUGUGGGGAUCUCCGAUUUCUAGCUGGUUGGCCAGAAGUACAGGUACCCGGGAUUUGCAACUAGCAUCUCAAGUUGGGGAUGGUCUUGUGGGACUGUGCCUCUAGCCCGUCUGCACUAACUUCGGGUAGUUAGUGUCAGAAUUGCUUCAUGGGACAGAGCAUCCCACACAUCUGGCCUCAGAAGUUUUGUGAGUAGAAGAAAUAGUCAUAGUUUUCUUUUAGGAACCAACCUAUCAUUCUAACAACUUAUAAAUAAAAAGAAAGAAUCAAACACUUGUCUGGCCUUCCUGUACCAACUGUACCUGAGGGUAACCACUCGUUGAUGAAAUGGUUUCCCUUUGUAGAGAGAUUCCAGCUAAGAAGCGAAGCAGGCCUCAUAGAUCCAGAAAUAUCACAGGGCUGCAGCCUCCAGUGAAAGAGCGGGUGUAAGCAGAGAUCACCAACGGCUGCUAAAAGCAUUAGGUGAAAAAAGGACAGAACUUUACAGUGUUAUGAGUCAGCCUGGCAGGGCCUGAGCCCGCUGAACAAUCCCAGCGUCACAGAAACAGACAGAUAUUCCGUGCUUCCCGAUGGAAGCACGCAAAACCACUUACACGGUAUUCAUGCCAAAGAAAUUGAACCUAAAUCUGAUUGAGCCUCUAGAUGUAUGAAUUUACAGAAAAUAGAAGAGACAGAGGAGGCUUUUAAACAACGUCAGUGGCAUGCAAUUAGCAAGAUUCAGACUGUGGAAAAACUUACAGGAAAAAAUGACAAAUGCAUUUCAAGGAAAAGAAAGGAAGUGAGCCUGACUGAAACAGAGGAGGAACCCAUGGCUUAGAAGAGACAUAGUAACUGAAUGUAACACGUGACCCUUAUUUGGCUCUUAAACAAACUGGUUGUUAAGAAAGAAAAAAAUUCAAGAGCUACCCAGAAGGCUUUCUCUACUAAAGGCAGAGACAGGGUCACAAACCCCACCCACUGUCUUUGCCUUUUCUUGGCUUAAAUCCUGUAAUUAAAGAGGUGUGCCUUUUAGUUCACCCUUCUUGUCCAGAGCUCACACCCUUUACAAGUCAGCACAUUAAACCUCAUCAGUCACAGACUCUCAGACUUUGCUGAGUUCAUGAGCUUGUUUCCCAAGGGCGGGCGUCAGUGAAACAUCUACAGCUCGAAGGUGAUGAUUUUUCUAAAAGCCACCGACUUCAUGAGGGUACUGAGCUCCCUGGUCUUUACACGUUUGACUCUUCAGAGUCGAUUGCAAGUGAUACGCUGGUCAAGGGGGUUGGAGCAGGCCUGGCGAAGAUGGUGAUGUUCUGAUUUCUUGUGUUUUUUGUCUUUGGAAUUUUUUUUUUUCUGUAUGUCUUCAUAGGAAUGAACGAGAGUUUAGAAGACCAAAUAUUUCAAACCAACCAGUGAAGCCCUUUGGUGCGGUUUUGACUCCAAAGCAGCAAGACUGUCUCCUGGUCUCCCAGGGCCAUACGCCACGGGGUCACUUUUCAAAUUAAGGUGAAAUCCAAGUGAAGGUGGAAAGGCAAGGUGUGAGGUCCUUCGACAGCAUCCCUGGUAGGUAACCAUCCACUCUCUAUAAACGCCUCCAAUGGCAGGAAAUCUCAGCCACGUUUCAUGAAGCUUCACUGUUGCCUCACCAGGAACCAGUCUUCCCCAUUUCCCAGGACAGCACUUCGAGUCUUAGAGACAGUGUUCUCAUCCCCACCCCGAGUCAGUGAUUCCUACCUGGAGUCUAGGGAAUGUGAGGGGACAGCCAUCCUAUUGGACAAUAUCAGCUCCUUGGAACAGCCAAGGUUAGCAGUUGGGGGCUUUUCCUUAGAUGCCGUGAUGCUCUGUUGAGGUUAGAAAUUUAUUUCAGUGGUUAGAAAGCAAGAACAUACACUAAAAUCUUUAAAAAUGGUUUUAUUUUAUUUUUUGAAAGAUUUUUUGGUUUUGACAUGGACCAUUUUUAAAGUCUUUAUUGAAUUUGUUACAAUAUUGCUUCUGUUUUAUGUUUUGGUUUUCUGGCCGCAAGGCAUGUGGGAGCUUAGCUCCCCCAGUGCAGGGGGUGUGGGAUCGAACCCACAGCCCCUGCGUUGGAAGGCGAAGUCUUAACCACUGGACCACCAGGGAAGUCCCUAAAAGUGGUUUUAAAACCACUCUCUUAAGUUUUCUCUUCCCCAGGGUAAACAUUGCUUGCUCUUUGAAAUAUUGGUAAUACAGGUUUAUAUAUUUUUUAAAAUAUAAUAAAUAAUGAAGUAUAAAUUAUAUAUAAGAAAUUACAUGUAUAUUAUAUUAAAAUAUAUAUGUAUGUUAUUAGAAAAGGGUAGCCUCACCCACACUCACUUUUAGGACAAGACCUAGCGACUGUACACAUCACUUGUCGUCACAUCUCAUUGGCUGGAGCGUUGCCACGUGGCUGCACCUGCUGUCAGGGAGCUGGGGGAGGUAGUGUGUGUCUGGCCGGGGUAAAACUUUCCCUGCUCUGGAAGGAGGGAAGAGGCAGCGUGGGGGGCUCUUGGCAUCUCUGCCACGAUAACUCUAAAUAGAAUCUAUGCGACCACAUAGCAUAAUGACAGUGUGUCCUGGUUUUGUCACCAGGCCCAGCGGUGAGGCUGCGUAAGGGUCACGGGAGUGGAGACACACAGAAUGGAGCCAGUAUUCAGUUCAGGAAUCAUAGGAUUUAGUGCACGUGGAGAGCACACAGCACAGCUUAGUAAGAGUAGGGAGAACAGAGAAGGGGUACCGACCUCGCCAAGGAGAAGUCCAGGAGGAGGCAGCUCAGCGCCAGCAGGGUCCCUGGUUGGUGAUGGUUUCAGGACGUCUGUGAGUGGGACUCGCCCUCGGCUGGGACAGGGCCUCGGGCAGCGCCUGGACAUUCCACAGUGUCUGGUCGGGUCCUCCAGCCAAGAGCCUUCAGUGUCCGACUCUGGGGGGUCUGCCUGGAGGUGGGCAGGUGCUGCCCCAGGGCCUCUCGUCUCCAGCAGCUACUCUGUGCCAGCGAAGGUUUCCGUGAUGUUACAAGGCAAGUCCUUAAAUUCAUUCUCUAAGUCUGUGAGUCUCUUCCUGUUUUGUAAACAAGUUCAUUUGUAGCAUCUUUCUUUUUAGAUUCCGCAUAUCGAUAUCGUAUAUUGGUCUUACUAACACAACAUUGUUAAUCACCUAUGCUUCAAUAUACAAUAAAAAUUAAACAAACAAACAAAAAACAAAGUCCUCAUCUAAAGGAACGCUCUUAGCUCACCAUACGGACGCACUCACAGCCCGGCACCCGACGCUUUGGAACAACUAGCCUGGCAGUGGACGCUGGCCGUUGGGACUCCGCUUUGACUGCUGAACAAAGCUUGAAUCCGAGGAGUUUCACACCAGAUAAGCAGGGAGCACAGACUGCAGCGUAACCGUCCUAAACUGAGAGCUUCACUGAAAUAUUCAAAUACAAGGAAUGUGUGUGAAAGACGUUUGUUCUUGGCUGGCUAACACCCGUUCAGUCCACCUCCAGUCACAAUUCCGGGUUUUGUUUGGGAAUCUAGUCUUCCUCUCUGUCCAUCUGGUUGAGGGGGAGUCUGGGGGUGACUUGUGACCUAGCCAAACCUCUCAGAACCCCAUAGUCCCUAGACGAGCGUGACUGGGUCGGGAUUGGCACGUGACUCAUUCCAGCUACUAGAAAAGCAGGUUCCUUUAAUUCUGCUGCCAUCUUGCCAUGUGGAGCAUAUGACAAUGAAAGAACUUUUUUUUUAGCCCAGGAUCCAGCCACGUUUCGCGUCUGCUCUCCACUGGGGCUCCUUAGCCACGAGAUCCAGGAAAUCCUCUUCUCCAUCCCUGUUUUGUUUUUCUCCUUACACCAGUUUGUACUGGGUUUUCUGUAACUUGCAAUAGAAAAAAAAUCCUGAUACAUUUGAGAUUAUUCCUAACUCUCCUAAAUGGAAAAUAACACAAUAAACAAUUAAAAUAAUUAAAUAAGAUAAUUAAAAACCAAGUAAGAUAUCUGACUAGUUCAUCUAUUCGCAUGAAUGAACUGUUAUAUAGCAGAGAUAUACAAAGCGUCAUUGUUCUGCACUGUGCAGCCAGAAUCUGAAGCCCUGGCCUGAUCACAGGCUGCAAGAAUUCUUUGCCACACGUUGCUCGGUAACGAAUAUUACUGUAGAUUUAAGAGCUUGAAAAUUCCGUCAUUAUCAACAAUUCAGCCUGAAAUCUUUCUGGAACGACGUGGGAAUAUAAAUAAGUUUAAAAGGCAUCAAGCCGUUCCUUCCUCUUUCUAACAGCUUCUUUUCUAGGAAGUCAAACUCUCCUUUUACACAGACCUCUUGUUCUCACCCUGUGGUUCUUAAAAGACGCCAACAAUACUUCUUCUUACCACUUACACUGAAUAAAUAAUUCAGGGUAAUAUAAUACCCAGUGGAACUUAGAACUGAUAGACUUCUUCCAAGCCCUUUAAGAUGUAUCUUCAAAAGAAAACACUGAAGGACGCUUUUAUGGAUUCCUCUAUUCUUCCUAAUAAGGUCAAAAUAAUAACAACACUCAUACUUCACAUUGUCUGUUUGGCAAAGGCCCGUUUGACUGACAGGGUGGUGCUGGUAACAGGCACGUGAACCCUGCAAGGCUCCUGCCUUGUGCGAGAUUAAGGGACGCGCGGGCAGAGGGGAAUGCAAAGGUGUUCUAUCACAUCUUCUCUAACGAAUGACCGCAUCAGAGUUACCUUAGAAACAAAGGGUUUAUCUCAUCUUAAAGAUGGGCAGGGACUUCCUUGGUGGUAUAGCAGUUAAGAAUCCACCUGCCAGUGCAGGGGACAUGGGUUCAAUCCCUGGUCCAGGAAGAUCCCACAUGCCGCGGAGCAACUAAGCCCGGGCGCCACAACUACUGAGCCUGCGCUCUAUAGCCCGUGAGCCACAACUACUGAGGCCACGCACCACAUCUACUGAAUCCCUCGUGCCUAGAGCCCAUGUUCCCCAACAAGAGAAGCCACUGCGAAGAGAAGCCCUUGUACUGCAACGAAGAGUGGCCCCCGCUCACCGCAACUAGAGAAAGCCCGCGCGCAGCAACUAAGACCCAACGCAGCCAAAAUAAAUAAAUUAAUUAAUUAAUUUUUUUAAAAAGAUGGGCAAAGGAGGGAAUUCCAGUCCUUUUCAGUAACCCAUGUAGUUACGUAACAAGCCUCACAAGAAGUUAAUCAACUAUGUUUAAUCCAAAUCCGUUGGGUUGAAAUUCCUCUGUCCUCAGUGGAAUUAGAAAGCUACUGCCUGUCAUCAGUGUGAGGCCCCUUCAUGUAUUUGAACCCUGUAUUAAAAGCUCUGUUUUGUGCUGAACAUCUUCUUUAUGAUUUCUUUUUUAAAAACCAUUUUUAAAUGGAAGUAGAGUUAAUUUACAAUGUUAUGUUGGUUUCAGGUAUCCAGCAAAGUGAUUCUGUUUUAUAUAUAGAUGUAUAUAUAUAUUUUUUCAAUUGUAUAUAUUUUCAAUUGUAUAUAUACAUAAUAGUCUUUUUCAGAUUCCCUUCCAUUAUAGGUUGUUAUACGAUAUUGAAUAUGGUUCCCUGUGCUAUACAGUAGGUCCUUGUUGUUUAUCUAUUCUAUAUAUACAUGUUAAUCCCAAACUCCUAAUUUCUCUCUCCCCCUGUGCUGAAUAUCUUUAACCUUUAACCCAGUCAUUCUCAACUGGAGUGAUUUUAUCCCCAGGGGACAUUUGGCAACGUGUGCAGCCUUUUUUGGUUGUCACAACUGAAGGGCAAAUGCUACUGGCGUCUAGUGGGUAGAGGGCAGGGAUGCUCUAAAUACCCUACAAUGCGCAGGGUGGUUCUCCACACACGCACACACACACACACACACACACACACACACGGACACACAUGGACACACAUGCACACAGCCCUCCAAAGAAUUAUCCUCCAGUGUUAAUAGUACCAAGGUUGAUAAACUAGUUAUCUUCUUAGUAUAUUCUUAUUUUCCAGACCUUUAGUAAUCAUUUGAAUUUUCUUUCUGAUUUUUUAAAAUAUUUAUUUUAUUUUUGGCUGCAUUGGGUCUUCGUUGUUGCACCCGGGAUUUCUCUAGUUGUGGCGAGCAGGGGCUACUCUUUGUUGUGGUGGCUUCUCUUGUUGCGGAGCAUGGGCUCUAGGCGUGAGGGAUUCAGUAGUUGUGGCGCAUGGCCUCAGUAGUUGUGGCUCGUGGGCUCUAGAGCGCAGGCUCAGUAGUUGUGGCGCAUGGGCUUAGUUGCUCCACGGCACGUGGGAUCUUCCUGGACCAGGGCUUGAACCUGUGUCCCCUACGUUGGCACAUGGAUUCUUAACCACUGCACCACCAGGGAAGUCCUUAAUCAUUUGAAUUUGCUUUGAACCUCUUCUCCAACUUACAUUACCCCACUUGGAUUUGGAGCUGUGACUUACACAUGAGCCUGAUUGUUACUGAAAACUAAGGACACUGACUUCAUAAUUGCUUUAUAAUUCCCUCCAUCUGUGAUACUUGUUAAAGGAUAAUUUAAUGACAUGUCCUGUAUGAAGGUUAUAGACACAGAACUGCUCUGGGGAUAUAAAUGACCCACUUGAAAUGCCUGUAGGCAUUUGGUUGAAUUACUAGGGCACCCAAAGUUCUACUCCAAUAAGAUCAUCAGAAUAUCCGAACCUGAUAGAAAAGAAGAGGGGCUCAGGGUGGGGGCCUGGGAGAGGAAGUCUCCCUGAGCUGUAGCCAGAGGAAUAAGGGUGAUAGAAACAGAAGGGGGAAGCCCCGCAAGGCUGGCGCUUACAACUCUCUAUGUGAGCAACCAAAGAGAGACGUUGGAUGAGGCAUCCCAGCCUCAGCUACAUUUUACUGCGGCCUAAGGACACGUAUUUAAGAUAACUUUUGGUAAGUUCUUAAACUUCUGUAACUUUUCCAACAUUUGUUUACUUUUAAUUCCCUAUUUCUUAAUAACGUGGAGCAGUGAAAACCGUUCAAAUGACAAGGCUUGUUUCCGGCUUAAAAAAUGGCAGGAGUAGCCCCCUUUGAGGCUAACCUUGGAGAAUGGGAUUUCUGGAAGAGAAACCAGACUGUUCAUAGCCAAGGAGGGGAGCCAUCUGGGGAAAUCCUGGGAUCAGCAAGAAGAAAUUUGGGACAGUGAGGGGCUGAUGCUGGGGUCAGAAAAAGUGCUUCGAGUCUUCAGAACGGUUGCUGGGUUCUGCUUUACAUAGUGCCUCACUCAUGAGAGGGUUUAAUGUAUGGUUUUCUGAUUUUGAUUAGCAUUUUGCUCCUAACUACUGCUCUUAAAUUCAAAUUAUAGCUUUCCAGAGGAUAAAAAAAGGGAGAGAGAAGAAAUAUGCUGAGGUUUGCACAGAGAUCAAAUAACCGUUCCUUUCUAAAACCAUAGAUUCUGCCGUUUGUUCCGUUUUUAUGCCAGGUCUGACAUUUCUCAUGCUUGAUGUCUACAUAUAAACAUUCACAUUGGAGAGUCUGAACAAAAAUCAUUUGGUUGGCUGGAGUUCUGUAAGGAGUCUAUAAAACGUUCUUGGAAUUUUAGUUCCAAGUAUGUUUUUAUAUUUAGAUGACUCACAAAAACUUUAUUUGCACUCUGUCUACUUAGCAUGAAAGAUGAUCUGAAUGAAUGUGAAAAAAUAAUUAAUUUCAAAUUUACGCAAGGGAAAGAUUGUAGCUUACUGUCUCUCACGUUCCCUCUGCUUCUAACUCCAACUGCAUUCCAACUCCUGCUGGGGCCACUCAGUAGGCAAGAGGGGUGGGAAUCACAGACCUGUGUGAUGCCUUCUUCACUCUGGGUAGGACGGGGGUUGGGGGUCAGGGUAGGAUGGAACUGAUGUAAAGAACUAAAAACGAUGAUGUCUAGUAGACAGACCCCCUGAUUGUGCCAUGAUAGUUGGCCUGCCAGCAGGUUGAUUUCUGCCCCUUGUACAUGGGUAUAUUCUUGUUGACCCCAAAGAGCUGGAGAAGAACCAAACUGAGGCCAGGAGAAUUAAAGGAGAUCAGGGAGCAAAAGGGUUUCCUUCCUGAGGACCUGUCUGCUGCCAUGCCAUCAGACAAUCAGAGACCAUUGUCCUUCCAUCCUCCCUGGACCACUGAUAACUUAAGCUUCUCCCAGGAUUCCACAACCAGAAAGAGAAGGAGCAAAUCAAACUAUCAGAUUAAGUCCCUUAGGAAAUAGAGCCACUGGAAGAGACAGACAACAACUUGUAAGAAAAACAGUAAGAAAAAACUAAUAAGAACAUGAAGGAGAUCUAUGUGCAGCAUAAAAGAGGCUCUCUAGAUAAAUCAAACCUUUAUUUUCUGACUAAAAUUUUAGUAAAAUGAAGGCCAUUGCUGAGACUCAAAUUAGAGGCCUGGAAAAUUCAAUGGAAUAAAAUCUCAAAUGACAGAGCAAAAGCACAAAGAGAUAGAAAUUGCAUAGACAAAAGCAUAAAGAUAAGAGAUUUGGAAGAUAGACCUUGGAGGAUGGAUUCUAGAAGGAGGGCAAGGAGCAGGUGGAGAAGAGAUAAAAAUAGAAGAAAAUAUUUUUGCGUUGAAGAAACACCAGAGUCUGCAACUUCAAACGGCUGACUAAGUUCCAGGCAUAAUAACGAGAACCAUAUCUAGGCAUAUAUGAGUAAAAUUUUUGAACUUCAACAUAAAGAUAAAAUCUUAUGAGUUUCCAGAAAAAUAAAUGAGCAAACUAUAAAGAAAGAGAAUCAGACAGGCAUGUGAUUUAUCUUCAGUUCUGGAGGUUAAAAGACAGUGGAGCAAACUUUGCAAAGUACUAAGAGAAAAGGAUUGAAAUCCAAGAAUUCUAUACCCAGGUGAAUUAUCACUUACCCAUCAGUUUGAAUGAAAGAUACUUGUAAAUAUACAAGGAUUCAGAGAAUAUAUCAUAGACAAACCACCAGUUGAGGAAAAAACUUGAGAAAGUGAGCAAAAAUAACAAAUUAAUCUGAACAGAGCUUAUAUUGUAUUAAUUAUCCAUGAUAGAUAACAAUUACCCCAGAACUUAGGGGCUUGAAGCAAUACUAAUCAUCUCUCACAGUUUUUGUGGAUCAAGAGUGGCUUAGCUAGGAGGCUACAAAGAUGAACUCACAGUGGGGCCAGGGCUACAGUCACUUAAAGACUUACCUGGGGCUGCAGAAUCUGCACCCAAGAUGGGUCACUCAUACGACCAGCAAGUUGGAUGGCUGUUGGCCAGAGGUCUUAGUUCCUCUGCACAUGGAGAAAUCAAGCAACAUAAUUCUAAAGAACCCAUGGGUCAAAGAGAAAGUCUCAAUGGAAAUUUUUUAAAAAUAUAAAUAAUGGAAAGUAAAAAUACAACAUAUCAAAAUAUGUGUGAUGCAGCUAAAGCAGUGCUGAGAGGGAAAUUUAUAGCAUCAAACACACACAUUAGAAGCAAGUAAAGGUCUUAAACCAGUCAUCUAAGUGCCUACCUCAAGAAACUAAAAGGAGAGAAACAAAAUAAGGCCCCAGCAAGUAGAAGGAGACUUUAAAAAAAAAGAACAAAAUUUAAUGAAAUUGGAAAUAGAAAAACAUAGAAAAUCAAUGA